This 341-nucleotide ribosomal RNA is filed under the name uncultured Bacillota bacterium. RNAcentral's name for it is "bacterial SSU rRNA". It matches the Rfam family "Bacterial small subunit ribosomal RNA", at positions 28 to 351 of the family's 1533-position model. Lineage: Bacteria; Bacillati; Bacillota. The record is from RNAcentral.
GAUGAACGCUGGCGGCGUGCCUAACACAUGCAAGUCGAACGGAGUUAUUAUUAUGAAGUUUUCGGAUGGAUUAAUAAUAACUUAGUGGCGGACGGGUGAGUAACGCGUGGGUAACCUGCCUCAUACAGGGGGAUAACAGUCGGAAACGGCUGCUAAAACCGCAUAAGAUUGCACUGUCGCAUGGCGGAGCAAUUAAAUAUUUAUAGGUAUGAGAUGGGGCCCGCGUCUGAUUAGCUAGUUGGUGAGGUAAUGGCUCACCAAGGCGACGAUCAGUAGCCGGCUUGAGAGAGUGACCGGCCACAUUGGGACUGAGACACGGCCCAAACUCCUACGGGAGGCUG